Poecilia reticulata (guppy) is the source of this 620-nucleotide long non-coding RNA. RefSeq lists it as uncharacterized. NCBI's taxonomy places the organism in Eukaryota, Metazoa, Chordata, Actinopteri, Cyprinodontiformes, Poeciliidae. The record is from RefSeq and is a predicted model, not a curated record.
UGUCAGGUCUCCCUUUGCACGUGACGUCACGCUCUCCAGAACUCCGCCCACUUCGCCAUAACGGUCGGCCAUGUUUGGUCAAAACGACAAAUGCGCUCCAGACAUCUGUAACAUAAAACUGCUUCUAUUUCGUUGAUUUCCUUUUAAAAUAGUCAUAGGAUGCUGCGCUGCCGGCUGCACAAACAGACAAGGAUGCAAACCAAACCUGUCAUUUUAUUGUAACUUUUAAUGAGAAAAAAUAUGGCGGCGACGGAUAGCAGCCGUUAAUAGUAAUGCCUGUGUGCCGUCGGUGUAAUCGUAGAUUUGCAGUAAACACUUUUUAUAAGGUAAGAAGAUUACCUUGUAAAACGUAAGAGUGAUUAGAAAGAUGUGAAACAUCGCAUUAUGGAGAAGACGCUGGGCGACCGCUGCCACGAGGGCAGCGCCUUUGCUGCUGCCGCACUCCGAGAGGACGAACCUGACGUGGCAAUCAGGAAGCAACCGCCGCACCACCUUAUGGAGCCGCUUAGGAUACCUGAAGAAGUGUGAAAGUGUUGCCAUCAACGCCGACUGUGAUUCUCAGUCCUCUCAGGUUCCGGUUCUGUCUGAUCCGGGUUAGAAUGGCCACCAGCCCCGCCGCC